This 439-nucleotide ribosomal RNA is filed under the name uncultured bacterium. RNAcentral describes it as "partial 16S ribosomal RNA". It matches the Rfam family "Bacterial small subunit ribosomal RNA", at positions 339 to 795 of the family's 1533-position model. The record is from RNAcentral.
CUACGGGAUGCACCAGUGGGGAAUAUUGCACAAUGGAGGAAACUCUGAUGCAGCAACGCCGCGUGGAGGAUGACACUUUUCGGAGCGUAAACUCCUUUUAUAUAGGAAGAUAAUGACGGUACUAUAUGAAUAAGCACCGGCUAACUCCGUGCCAGCAGCCGCGGUAAUACGGAGGGUGCAAGCGUUACUCGGAAUCACUGGGCGUAAAGAGCGUGUAGGCGGGUUAAUAAGUCAGAAGUGAAAUCCUAUGGCUCAACCAUAGAACUGCUUUUGAAACUGUUAACCUAGAAUAUGGGAGAGGUAGAUGGAAUUUCUGGUGUAGGGGUAAAAUCCGUAGAGAUCAGAAGGAAUACCGAUUGCGAAGGCGAUCUACUGGAACAUUAUUGACGCUGAGACGCGAAAGCGUGGGGAGCAAACAGGAUUAGAUACCCGAGUAGUC